AUAGAAAUAUCACUCCAUGUUUGUGUAGGUAAUGGUAAAGGAUGUAACAGUCCACCUAGGCUUAAGGUUUGAUACUUAUUCCUUUGACAUACUUCGCAGGUUGCACAUAGUCAUGUAUCUGUUUUCUCAUACCUUCCCAAUACACCAACUUUGAAAUUUUUUUAUAAGUCCUGAGAGACCCUGAAUGCCCACCAAUGGAGGUAUCAUGAAAUUCAUGUA
Molecule: long non-coding RNA, 219 nt
Filed under: Trifolium pratense (red clover)
Lineage: Eukaryota; Viridiplantae; Streptophyta; Magnoliopsida; Fabales; Fabaceae
Description: long non-coding RNA (TPRA_LNC012576)
Source: RNAcentral